GGGAUUGUGGCUCAGAGAUAGAGUGCUUGCCUAGCAUGCAUGAGGCACUGGGUUCAAUCCUCAGCACCA
Molecule: transfer RNA, 69 nt
Filed under: Marmota marmota marmota (Alpine marmot)
Lineage: Eukaryota; Metazoa; Chordata; Mammalia; Rodentia; Sciuridae
Also listed under: 3 other names
Rfam family: tRNA
About the family: Transfer RNA (tRNA) molecules are approximately 80 nucleotides in length. Their secondary structure includes four short double-helical elements and three loops (D, anti-codon, and T loops).
Source: Rfam by way of RNAcentral